CGAACGGGUGAGUAAUGCGUGACCAACCUGCCCCAUGCUCCAGAAUAGCUCUUGGAAACGGGUGGUAAUGCUGGAUGCUCCAACUUGACGCAUGUCUUGUUGGGAAAGUGUUUAGUGGCAUGGGAUGGGGUCGCGUCCUAUCAGCUUGUAGGCGGGGUAAUGGCCCACCUAGGCUUCGACGGGUAGCCGGCCUGAGAGGGCGGACGGCCACAUUGGGACUGAGAUACGGCCCAGACUCCUACGGGAAGCAGCAGGC
Molecule: ribosomal RNA, 256 nt
Filed under: uncultured Gardnerella sp.
Lineage: Bacteria; Bacillati; Actinomycetota; Actinomycetes; Bifidobacteriales; Bifidobacteriaceae
Description: partial 16S ribosomal RNA
Rfam family: Bacterial small subunit ribosomal RNA
Source: RNAcentral